RNAcentral lists this ribosomal RNA (485 nucleotides) under uncultured bacterium. Its description in RNAcentral is "partial 16S ribosomal RNA". It matches the Rfam family "Bacterial small subunit ribosomal RNA", at positions 30 to 506 of the family's 1533-position model. The record is from RNAcentral.
AUUGAACGCUGGCGGCAUGCCUUACACAUGCAAGUCGAACGGCAGCACGGGUGCUUGCACCUGGUGGCGAGUGGCGAACGGGUGAGUAAUACAUCGGAACAUGUCCUGUAGUGGGGGAUAGCCCGGCGAAAGCCGGAUUAAUACCGCAUACGAUCUACGGAUGAAAGCGGGGGACCUUCGGGCCUCGCGCUAUCGGGUUGGCCGAUGGCUGAUUAGCUAGUUGGUGGGGUAAAGGCCUACCAAGGCGACGAUCAGUAGCUGGUCUGAGAGGACGACCAGCCACACUGGGACUGAGACACGGCCCAGACUCCUACGGGAGGCAGCAGUGGGGAAUUUUGGACAAUGGGCGAAAGCCUGAUCCAGCAAUGCCGCGGGUGUGAAGAAGGCCUUCGGGUUGUAAAGCACUUUUGUCCGGAAAGAAAUCCUUGGCCCUAAUACGGUCGGGGGAUGACGGUACCGGAAGAAUAAGCACCGGCUAACUACGG